CCUAGGCAGGGCGGCAGCCUACAAUGCAGUCGAGCGGUAGAGAGAAGCUUGCUUCUCUUGAGAGCGGCGGACGGGUGAGUAAUGCCUAGGAAUCUGCCUGGUAGUGGGGGAUAACGUCCGGAAACGGACGCUAAUACCGCAUACGUCCUACGGGAGAAAGCAGGGGACCUUCGGGCCUUGCGCUAUCAGAUGAGCCUAGGUCGGAUUAGCUAGUUGGUGGGGUAAUGGCUCACCAAGGCGACGAUCCGUAACUGGUCUGAGAGGAUGAUCAGUCACACUGGAACUGAGACACGGUCCAGACUCCUACGGGAGGCAGCAGUGGGGAAUAUUGGACAAUGGGCGAAAGCCUGAUCCAGCCAUGCCGCGUGUGUGAAGAAGGUCUUCGGAUUGUAAAGCACUUUAAGUUGGGAGGAAGGGCUAUUACCUAAUACGUGAUGGUUUUGACGUUACCGACAGAAUAAGCACCGGCUAACUCUGUGCCAGCAGCCGCGGUAAUACAGAGGGUGCAAGCGUUAAUCGGAAUUACUGGGCGUAAAGCGCGCGUAGGUGGUUUGUUAAGUUGGAUGUGAAAUCCCCGGGCUCAACCUGGGAACUGCAUUCAAAACUGACUGACUAGAGUAUGGUAGAGGGUGGUGGAAUUUCCUGUGUAGCGGUGAAAUGCGUAGAUAUAGGAAGGAACACCAGUGGCGAAGGCGACCACCUGGACUGAUACUGACACUGAGGUGCGAAAGCGUGGGGAGCAAACAGGAUUAGAUACCCUGGUAGUCCACGCCGUAAACGAUGUCAACUAGCCGUUGGGAGCCUUGAGCUCUUAGUGGCGCAGCUAACGCAUUAAGUUGACCGCCUGGGGAGUACGGCCGCAAGGUUAAGACUCAAAUGAAUUGACGGGGGCCCGCACAAGCGGUGGAGCAUGUGGUUUAAUUCGAAGCAACGCGAAGAACCUUACCAGGCCUUGACAUCCAAUGAACUUUCCAGAGAUGGAUUGGUGCCUUCGGGAACAUUGAGACAGGUGCUGCAUGGCUGUCGUCAGCUCGUGUCCUGAAAUGUUGGGUUAAGUCCCGUAACGAGCGCAACCCUUGUCCUUAGUUACCAGCACGUUAUGGGGGGGCACUCUAAGGAAAUGGC
This 1125-nucleotide ribosomal RNA is filed under the name Pseudomonas marginalis. RNAcentral describes it as "bacterial SSU rRNA". It matches the Rfam family "Bacterial small subunit ribosomal RNA", at positions 30 to 1152 of the family's 1533-position model. Lineage: Bacteria; Pseudomonadati; Pseudomonadota; Gammaproteobacteria; Pseudomonadales; Pseudomonadaceae. The record is from RNAcentral.